RNAcentral lists this ribosomal RNA (455 nucleotides) under Salmonella enterica. RNAcentral's name for it is "partial 23S ribosomal RNA". It matches the Rfam family "Bacterial large subunit ribosomal RNA", at positions 67 to 561 of the family's 2925-position model. The record is from RNAcentral. Lineage: Bacteria; Pseudomonadati; Pseudomonadota; Gammaproteobacteria; Enterobacterales; Enterobacteriaceae. RNAcentral also lists the same sequence under 4 other names.
UGCGAUAAGCGCCGGUAAGGUGAUAUGAACCGUUAUAACCGGCGAUUUCCGAAUGGGGAAACCCAGUGUGAUUCGUCACACUAUCAUUAACUGAAUCCAUAGGUUAAUGAGGCGAACCGGGGGAACUGAAACAUCUAAGUACCCCGAGGAAAAGAAAUCAACCGAGAUUCCCCCAGUAGCGGCGAGCGAACGGGGAGGAGCCCAGAGCCUGAAUCAGCAUGUGUGUUAGUGGAAGCGUCUGGAAAGGCGCGCGAUACAGGGUGACAGCCCCGUACACAAAAGCGCAUGUGCUGUGAGCUCGAUGAGUAGGGCGGGACACGUGGUAUCCUGUCUGAAUAUGGGGGGACCAUCCUCCAAGGCUAAAUACUCCUGACUGACCGAUAGUGAACCAGUACCGUGAGGGAAAGGCGAAAAGAACCCCGGCGAGGGGAGUGAAAAAGAACCUGAAACCGUGU